CUUCCUCUCUUCCUCCUCCUGGCUCCCAACUUGUUUCUUCUUUCUUAUGUGCCAGUUGCUGUGCUGAGGAUAUGAAGCUAAAUAAGCCUCUCUCCUUUUCCUCAUGAAGCUCAAAAGCUUAGAUAGGAAGCAAAUAAAUAUAAUAUAGCAUGAUAAUUGCAAGAAUAUUAACAUGUCCAAAAGUUAAAGAGAGAAAGCAUAAAGAAGAAAGUGAUGAGCUCUGAGGGGUUGAGGCUUUUGCUCUCUCUUAAAUUGAUUGCUAUUUAGCACCCAUCAAAAGCUCUGCAGAGGGGACCAUCAUUAACGGCAUUUACGAAGACAUCCACUUAUUCCAACAGCAGGAGGAAGACCAACGCUUCUUAUCAUAAACACAAGUUCCUGCUAUACACAACACAUCCUUGAAUUCUAGGGAAGCCAAGAUGUACAUGAAAUGACUGCAGGUCUUAAAGGUCUUGAAUCUAAUUGUGGCACUGGGGCAUAUGUAGAGAUAAAUAUCACGUAGCAUAUGCUAAGGUGAUUUCGAAGAUCUAUUCUAUCUUAAGACACUGUAAGUCUAAUUAUUAAAUGAGCAAUACAGACAUUUA
RNAcentral lists this long non-coding RNA (584 nucleotides) under Homo sapiens (human). Its description in RNAcentral is "HSALNT0319573". The record is from RNAcentral. Lineage: Eukaryota; Metazoa; Chordata; Mammalia; Primates; Hominidae.